Molecule: ribosomal RNA, 253 nt
Filed under: uncultured bacterium
Lineage: Bacteria
Description: partial 16S ribosomal RNA
Rfam family: Bacterial small subunit ribosomal RNA
Source: RNAcentral
UACGUAGGGAGCAAGCGUUGUCCGGAAUCAUUGGGCGUAAAGCGCGCGUAGGUGGCCUCAUAAGUCCGCUGUGAAAGUCAAAGGCUCAACCUUUGAAAGCCGGUGGAUACUGCCGGGCUAGAGUCCGGAAGAGGCGAGUGGAAUUCCUGGUGUAGCGGUGGAAUGCGCAGAUAUCAGGAGGAACACCAAUAGCGAAGGCAGCUCGCUGGGACGGUACUGACGCUAAGGCGCGAAAGCGUGGGGAGCGAACAGG